GAUGAAACGCUAGCCGGCAGGCUUAACACAUGCAAGUUCGUGGGGCAGCGGGGUGAGCGCUUGCGCUCUCCGCCGGCGAACCGGCGCACGGGUGAGUAACACGUAUGCAACCUGCCCCUGCCAGGGGGACAACCCCGGCGAAAAGCCGGGCUAAUCCCGCGUACAUCCCCCGGGGGCAUCCCCGGGUGAGGAAAGGAGCGAUCCGGGCAGGGAUGGGCAUGCGGCGCAUUAGGCAGACGGCGGUGUGACGGACCACCGAGCCGACGAUGCGUAGGGGUUCUGAGAGGAAGGUCCCCCACACUGGUACUGAGACACGGACCAGACUCCUACGGGAGGCAGCAGUGAGGAAUAUUGGUCAAUGGCCGUAAGGCUGAACCAGCCAAGCCGCGUGGCGGAAGAAGGUGCUGAGCAUCGUAAACGCCUUUUGCCGGGGAACAACGGGCAUCACGCGUGGUGCCGUGAGUGUACCCGGAGAAAAAGCAUCGGCUAACUCCGUGCCAGCAGCCGCGGUAAUACGGAGGAUGCGAGCGUUAUCCGGAAUCAUUGGGUUUAAAGGGUGCGUAGGCUGCGGGUCAAGUCAGCGGUGAAAUCCCGGGGCUCAACCCCGGCGAGCCGUUGAAACUGGCCUGCUUGAGAGGGGGCGAGGCACGCGGAAUGCGCGGUGUAGCGGUGAAAUGCAUAGAUAUCGCGCAGAACUCCGAUUGCGAAGGCAGCGUGCCGGCCCUGGUCUGACGCUGAGGCACGAAAGCGUGGGGAUCGAACAGGAUUAGAUACCCUGGUAGUCCACGCAGUAAACGAUGAAUACUUGGUGUGUGUCCGGUUAGGGAUGCGCGCCGGAGCGAAAGCGUUAAGUAUUCCACCUGGGGAGUACGCCGGCAACGGUGAAACUCAAAGGAAUUGACGGGGGCCCGCACAAGCGGAGGAACAUGUGGUUUAAUUCGAUGAUACGCGAGGAACCUUACCCGGGCUCAAACGGGCCGCGACAGGGGCGGAGACGCCCUUUCCCUCCGGGGCGCGGUCCGAGGUGCUGCAUGGUUGUCGUCAGCUCGUGCCGUGAGGUGUCGGCUUAAGUGCCAUAACGAGCGCAACCCCUGCCGCCAGUUGCUAACGGUUUAAGCCGAGGACUCUGGCGGGACUGCCGGCGCAAGCCGCGAGGAAGGCGGGGAUGACGUCAAAAUCAGCACGGCCCUUACGUCCGGGGCGACACACGUGUUACAAUGGGGCGGCACAGCGGGAAAGCCACGCGGCGACGCGGAGCGGAAACCCGAAAACGCCUCUCAGUUUCGGAUUCGGAGCCUGCAACCCGGCUCCGUGAAAGCUGGAUUUCGCUAGUAAUCGCGCAUCAGCCAUGGCGCGGUGAAUACGUUUCCCGGGCCU
Molecule: ribosomal RNA, 1377 nt
Filed under: uncultured bacterium
Lineage: Bacteria
Description: bacterial SSU rRNA
Rfam family: Bacterial small subunit ribosomal RNA
Source: RNAcentral